RNAcentral lists this ribosomal RNA (751 nucleotides) under Salmonella enterica subsp. enterica. RNAcentral describes it as "partial 23S ribosomal RNA". It matches the Rfam family "Bacterial large subunit ribosomal RNA", at positions 2053 to 2803 of the family's 2925-position model. Lineage: Bacteria; Pseudomonadati; Pseudomonadota; Gammaproteobacteria; Enterobacterales; Enterobacteriaceae. The record is from RNAcentral.
GUGAAGAUGCAGUGUACCCGCGGCAAGACGGAAAGACCCCGUGAACCUUUACUAUAGCUUGACACUGAACAUUGAGCCUUGAUGUGUAGGAUAGGUGGGAGGCUUUGAAGUGUGGACGCCAGUCUGCAUGGAGCCGACCUUGAAAUACCACCCUUUAAUGUUUGAUGUUCUAACGUGGACCCGUUACCCGGGUUGCGGACAGUGUCUGGUGGGUAGUUUGACUGGGGCGGUCUCCUCCUAAAGAGUAACGGAGGAGCACGAAGGUUGGCUAAUCCUGGUCGGACAUCAGGAGGUUAGUGCAAUGGCAUAAGCCAGCUUGACUGCGAGCGUGACGGCGCGAGCAGGUGCGAAAGCAGGUCAUAGUGAUCCGGUGGUUCUGAAUGGAAGGGCCAUCGCUCAACGGAUAAAAGGUACUCCGGGGAUAACAGGCUGAUACCGCCCAAGAGUUCAUAUCGACGGCGGUGUUUGGCACCUCGAUGUCGGCUCAUCACAUCCUGGGGCUGAAGUAGGUCCCAAGGGUAUGGCUGUUCGCCAUUUAAAGUGGUACGCGAGCUGGGUUUAGAACGUCGUGAGACAGUUCGGUCCCUAUCUGCCGUGGGCGCUGGAGAACUGAGGGGGGCUGCUCCUAGUACGAGAGGACCGGAGUGGACGCAUCACUGGUGUUCGGGUUGUCAUGCCAAUGGCACUGCCCGGUAGCUAAAUGCGGAAGAGAUAAGUGCUGAAAGCAUCUAAGCACGAAACUUGCCCCGAG